UUUGAUGCUGCCGAGCCGCAGCGGCUCGGCCCGGUCCUGGCCAUACGCGGCGAGCACUGCCUGCGCCUC
Molecule: non-coding RNA, 69 nt
Organism: Actinoplanes awajinensis subsp. mycoplanecinus
Lineage: Bacteria; Bacillati; Actinomycetota; Actinomycetes; Micromonosporales; Micromonosporaceae
Rfam family: ASpks TB sRNA
Source: Rfam